This 376-nucleotide ribosomal RNA is filed under the name uncultured bacterium. RNAcentral's name for it is "bacterial SSU rRNA". It matches the Rfam family "Bacterial small subunit ribosomal RNA", at positions 524 to 898 of the family's 1533-position model. The record is from RNAcentral.
UACGUAGGUGGCGAGCGUUGUCCGGAAUUACUGGGUGUAAAGGGCGUGUAGGCGGGACUGUAAGUCAGAUGUGAAAUUCCAGGGCUUAACUCUGGAGCUGCAUCUGAAACUAUGGUUCUUGAGUGCUGGAGAGGAAAGCGGAAUUCCUAGUGUAGCGGUGAAAUGCGUAGAUAUUAGGAGGAACACCAGUGGCGAAGGCGGCUUUCUGGACAGUAACUGACGCUGAGGCGCGAAAGCGUGGGGAGCAAACAGGAUUAGAUACCCUGGUAGUCCACGCUGUAAACGAUGGAUACUAGGUGUAGGAGGUAUCGACCCCUUCUGUGCCGGAGUUAACACAAUAAGUAUCCCACCUGGGGAGUACGGCCGCAAGGUUGAA